Etheostoma spectabile (orangethroat darter) is the source of this 73-nucleotide long non-coding RNA. RefSeq lists it as uncharacterized. Lineage: Eukaryota; Metazoa; Chordata; Actinopteri; Perciformes; Percidae. The transcript is spliced from 4 exons. The record is from RefSeq and is a predicted model, not a curated record.
GGUGCUAAGAAAUCCUCUGGGGCUGAGAGCGGGCAGACAGGUGGGAGGCAGGAGCGAGAGAUGAACAAUUGAG